UUGUAAAGAUAAUGUCAUUUACAGCUUUGUAAAUAAUAAUUGUCACUUAUAAAAUUAUUUUCAUUUGCUGAUCAAACCAAAUUCAGGUAUAUAAAGCUUCUUCCAAAUCAUUUGGUUAUCAAUCCUUACUCGAGUCAACUUACAGUGAUCAUCUCGUAUACAAUAUCACCAUGAAAUUUUCAAUGUAUUUCGUUUUGUUCUUCUUGGCCAUUCUGAUUUGUCCAUCAUCGCCACAACGCACCCGUGGCUCAUGUGCAAACGGAAAAACAUGUCCAGAAGGAUCCUUUUGUAUCAAGCGAACUGGUAAAUGUCUUGCAAACGGUUGAGAGAAAAAUCAUUGUGAUGGUGUGACUUGGGCAUUUGCUAAAACAAAAACAAGUCGUUUUUCACUGUUACUUGCAAAAUGUUGAAACAAGAAUUUCUGUUAAUGAAUUUAUGCCAUCUUAGAUAAAAUGAAUAAAGAAAUCCUAAAAUAAAUUAUAAA
This is a long non-coding RNA of Tetranychus urticae (two-spotted spider mite), 484 nucleotides long. RefSeq lists it as uncharacterized. NCBI's taxonomy places the organism in Eukaryota, Metazoa, Arthropoda, Arachnida, Trombidiformes, Tetranychidae. The record is from RefSeq and is a predicted model, not a curated record.